GGAAAAGAAACCAACAGGGAUUGCCCUAGUAACGGCGAGUGAAGCGGCAACAGCUCAAAUUUGAAAUCUGGCUUCCUUGGAAGUCCGAGUUGUAAUUUGCAGAGGGCGCUUUGGCGUCGGUAGCGGUCUAAGUUCCUUGGAACAGGACGUCACAGAGGGUGAGAAUCCCGUACGUGGUCGACUACCUUCGCCGUGUAAAGCCCCUUCGACGAGUCGAGUUGUUUGGGAAUGCAGCUCUAAAUGGGAGGUAAAUUUCUUCUAAAGCUAAAUACUGGCCAGAGACCGAUAGCGCACAAGUAGAGUGAUCGAAAGAUGAAAAGCACUUUGGAAAGAGAGUCAAACAGCACGUGAAAUUGUUGAAAGGGAAGCGCUUGCCGCCAGACGUGCCCGUGGUGGUUCUCCUCCGCGGGCAGGCCAGCAUCAGUUUGGGCGAUCGGAUAAAGGCCUCUGUCAUGUAUCUCCCUUCGGGGUGACCUUAUAGGGGAGGCGUAAUGCGAUCAGCCUGGACUGAGGUCCGCGCAUCUGCUAGGAUGCUGGCGUAAUGGCUGUAAGCGGCCCGUCUUGAAACACGGACCAAGGAGUCUAACAUCUAUGCGAGUGUUUGGGUGUCAAGCCCGAGCGCGUAAUGAAAGUGAACGGAGGUGGGAACCCUUUGGGUGCACCAUCGACCGAUCCUGAAGUCUUCGGAUGGAUUUGAGUAAGAGCAUGGCUGUUGGGACCCGAAAGAUGGUGAACUAUGCUUGAAUAGGGUGAAGCCAGAGGAAACUCUGGUGGAGGCUCGCAGCGGUUCUGACGUGCAAAUCGAUCGUCAAA
RNAcentral lists this ribosomal RNA (813 nucleotides) under Dictyosporium thailandicum. Its description in RNAcentral is "eukaryotic LSU rRNA". It matches the Rfam family "Eukaryotic large subunit ribosomal RNA", at positions 55 to 909 of the family's 3401-position model. The record is from RNAcentral. Lineage: Eukaryota; Fungi; Ascomycota; Dothideomycetes; Pleosporales; Dictyosporiaceae.